This 513-nucleotide ribosomal RNA is filed under the name uncultured bacterium. RNAcentral's name for it is "bacterial SSU rRNA". It matches the Rfam family "Bacterial small subunit ribosomal RNA", at positions 35 to 518 of the family's 1533-position model. The record is from RNAcentral.
ACACGGCUGGCGGCGUGCCUAAUACAUGCAAGUCGAACGGUCUUUCUAUGGAAGCUUGCUUCACUGAGAGAUAGUGGCGAACGGGUGAGUAACACGUGGGUAACCUGCCCAUAAGAGGGGGAUAACAUCCGGAAACGGGUGCUAAUACCGCAUAGUUUUUCUUGAUCGCAUGAUCGGGAAAGGAAAGACGGCCUUUGUGCUGUCGCUUAUGGAUGGACCCGCGGCGUAUUAGUUAGUUGGUGAGGUAACGGCUCACCAAGACGAUGAUACGUAGCCGACCUGAGAGGGUGAUCGGCCACAUUGGGACUGAGACACGGCCCAAACUCCUACGGGAGGCAGCAGUAGGGAAUCUUCCGCAAUGGACGAAAGUCUGACGGAGCAACGCCGCGUGAGUGAAAGAAGGUUUUCGGAUCGUAAACUCUGUUGUCAGAGAAGAACAAGUUGGAGAGUAACUGCUCCAGCCUUGACGGUAUCUGACCAGAAAGCCACGGCUAACUACGUGCCAGCCGCCGC